UGGUGGAGUGAUUUGUCUGGUUAAUUCCGUUAACGAACGAGACCUCAGCCUGCUAAAUAGUCACGCGAAUUCUUCUGCUAAAGCACUGGGUGGCGUCCUGCGUUGUUCGGUGUGGAUGAGUUCGUGGCCGUACUUCUUAGAGGGACUAUUGGCACUGAAGCCAAUGGAAGUUUGAGGCAAUAACA
RNAcentral lists this ribosomal RNA (185 nucleotides) under uncultured eukaryote. RNAcentral describes it as "partial 18S ribosomal RNA". It matches the Rfam family "Eukaryotic small subunit ribosomal RNA", at positions 1299 to 1458 of the family's 1831-position model. The record is from RNAcentral.